Molecule: long non-coding RNA, 1995 nt
Organism: Monodelphis domestica (gray short-tailed opossum)
Lineage: Eukaryota; Metazoa; Chordata; Mammalia; Didelphimorphia; Didelphidae
Source: Ensembl
UCUGGCUUCCUUGAGGAGGAAAGUUGGAAGGAGAAAGAAGGACAGGAAGAGUGAAGGGAGAAAGGACAGAAGAUAACUUGAUUUCCCUAAAACAUUUGAUAUAUAAGAACUACAACUUGAACUGUUACACUUCCUUACUUUGAAGAGAAUUCUUGGGCUAUAUGUAAUUGCCUAUAUGAGUCCAGUAAAGCUUGAUCUUUAUUGGUUUUCAAAUUGUUUAUCCUUUUCCCAACAAACCCUGUCCUGGCAGACAUUCUCCAGCAGGUGCAGAGUUAGUUCUCUCUCCCUGUGGGGUUAAGAGCAAAGGCAGCCAGACUGUUUAGUGGUUGGGAUGCUGCUGCCUAGCAACGGAACUCAAGUUGUGAUUCCCAAGGAGAAUACUGAUAAUCAGGAAGAAAGGAAUAAGCUGAAUUCAGCAGCUUCUCUCUAGUGGUAGGAACUGGAUUCAUCAGGGCAACUUUCCUAAUAGGAGAGAAAAAGAAAUGGGUCAACGUGGAGCAUGGAUGGAGGAAAGAUACUACCACCUUCAUUACCAUAUGGAAGCAAGUUUGAUCAGCAGGGCAACCAAGAUAUCCACCAGAUCUCCUUUGUUUUGCAAUAUCAUCAGUUACAUAUAACAGUCUCAUACCAAAGGAGUUGGGAAGUUGAUCCCAGUGCAUGGUACCCCUGGAUGGUUCCCAAGAGAGAAGGGAAUACAGAAAGAGAUAUUGAAGAGUGCCAAAGAAGCACAAAGCUACUUGCAUAGUGCCAAAGAAUACAAGGUCAAAGAGACCAAACCAAUACUACAUGGACUGAUGACAUUCUGCACAAAGAGCUCAAGGACAUGAUCAUGUGUGAGACUCAAUGUUAAGGCUUUUUAAUAUGUGUUAAAUGCAGAACUUUCUUGUAUCACAUACUCUACAUCAAAUACAUGACAUUAAUUGUUCUGGCUCCAGUAUCCAUGAGAAAAAUAUGUAAUAUCAGACCAGAGAAUGACACUUCCCUAUCAGUCCCUUUUUCUCUUUUAUAGUGUGGCAACUUUUUGUAGUCUUGGCUACAAAUGGAAAAGUGAAAUAUUACUACAUUUUGUCCUAUAGACUUGUGGGAUAAAAAUCACUUUAGUUGGGCCCUGAUUCAAGAACCUGUUAUGGAUUUAUUUUUCCUUUACUUAGAAUUUUUACACAUAAGACUUUGAUAGUCUACAUUUCAUCCAGAAGUUAUCUUUUCUCUUUUAUUUGGAUUUAUUUUGAUGAUUUUGAUUUCUCUUGCCAAUUGAUUCAUACACCUCAUAACUCAGUCAUACAUUCCUAAGUUAUCCCUAUGUUUUUCAACACCCUCUUCAGGAGGGAAUGUAUAAUUAUUCUAAAUUGCAAAGUUUAAAUUCUUUUUGAGAGUAAUUUUAGGUUAAGAAACAUGAUACCUCUCCAAAUAUAGAAAGUGAACUCUUUGGUGAAUGCACCAUGAAGAUGCCUCCACAGACCAUACCCUACACCAGAAGAUCCAAAGUGAAUUUUGGGAUGUGGUGAUUUGAACUGUGUGAGGUUGAAUGCAUUUGUUUUGUAUGUAUGCUCUUAUGCCAAAGGGGACUGCCCCCUAACUGACUUUUUAUCAAUGUACCCAGCAAUUAUUGGUUUUGUUCUCUUUUCUUAUCCUCAAAUUAUUGCAAUUUCAAAGUUGGUAUGUUUACAAGAUCCUUCGGAGAGACUAGUCUUCCUCAGCUCUCAGGGGGAAAUAUAUAUUUGAAAAUCUAUUACCCUAAAAAAGAACUACAUAUCCUGAGAGCCCACUUACUUUUUGUUGUUACUUACUUCCUGAAGGCAGAGGAUAAAGUAAGUGGGAGUUGAGGCUCUCCUCCUCUUUUUGGCAUGAUGCAGCAAUCAUGGUGGCAUGGUAAGGUGGGGAUUUCUAAAUGGCUAAUAAGUCAUGGGCACAUUGUUUUUAUUUUGUAUCCUCUUUAUUCCUUGAUUUCUCAUGAUAGUUAAUAAAUCCCUUAAAUAUAAUAUUUUUAUUAUUUGA